GAACGGCAUNCCAAAGAGGGUGAGAGCCCCGUAGGGCCCGGAAAUNGGAAGCAGCGGGACGAGGGUCCGUACUCGUAGAGUCGGGUUGUUUGGGAAUGCAGCCCCAAGUGGGUGGUAGACUCCAUCCAAGGCUAAAUACGGGCGCGAGACCGAUAGCUGACAAGUACCGUGAGGGAAAGGUGAAAAGCACUUUGAAGAGAGAGUUCAAUAGACCGUGAAACCGUUGGGAGGGAAGCUCAGGGUGUCGAGGUUGUCGUGCUCCUUUGGAGUUCAGCUGGUGGUGGUUCACGCUGCUGCCGGUGCACUCUCUGAAGGUGUUGGACCGUCAGUUGGGAAGAGACAGGGGCCUGGUUGUCGGCGGUCGGGAGGUGCGCCCCGGAGCUCCUUGGAGCCCGGGGUGACAUAUAGCCGCUCCGUCGUGGUCCCUGUCCUCUUUCAGGUGCGUUGGAUGUCUGAUCGUCCGGAAUAGGAAGGUGCAGUCUCCCCUCGUGGGAGUUCGGGCCGUUCCUCAGGUUGCCAGGCAUUGUGGUGUCGUGUUCCGUUCUCUCUCCGUUACGCUUGUCGUGCGGGGUUGGGUGCGGCACGUCCUGCAAGCGUCGUGUCCUGUGGGAGCGUGUUCCAAGUACUGUGCCGAGGCGAC
Molecule: ribosomal RNA, 640 nt
Filed under: Haliclona melissae
Lineage: Eukaryota; Metazoa; Porifera; Demospongiae; Haplosclerida; Chalinidae
Description: partial large subunit ribosomal RNA
Rfam family: Eukaryotic large subunit ribosomal RNA
Source: RNAcentral